GUAGGAAACAUCAUUACUUAAGGUAUACAGUCUCUUAACUCAAUAAUAAUACAAUAAUAAAAUAGAUGCUUAAUAAAAUAAAAAAUAAAAUAAUAAUAUAAUAAAAUAAAAAUAGUAUAAAAUAAUAAUAUAAUAAAAUAAAAAUAUAAUAAUAUUAAAUAAAAAUUAAAUAAAUAAUAAAAUAAAAAUGAAGUAAUAAAAUGAAAAAAUAAUAAUAAAAAUACAAUAAUACUGAAAUAAAAAACAAAAAUAAUAUAAAUGAAAUACAAAAUCGAAUACUAUGAAAAUACAAAUGUUAAAUAGAUAAAAUAUAAUGAAUUAUAAAAUGAAGAAAAAUAAAUAAAUAAAUAUAAUACAACAAAAUCACCUAAUUGGCUUGGGACACACACCAAGGUUUGAUCAACCUUGGCUGGGCCUCUCCUCAGGUGAGGGUGUCUAGUGAGAAAUGGCCGAAACACCCUGUGAUCCUGGGGUCCACUACUGAGGAUGUGUCUUACAAUUUGGACUUAGUCCACAUAGAACCUUAUGGGAAACCAGAUGAGAUCUCAUCCCAAUACAGGAAAAAUAAAGAAAAAACAAAACAGAUACCCCAUAAACAGGGGAAAUAUAAAACAAUGUUACUGCAAUCCAAGAAGUAUACAAGGGAAUGACAUCUAAUAUAAGGAAAACAUGAAAAACAAAAGGAGAAACUAACCAAAAUAUCCCACAAACAGGGGAAAUAAUAAAACAAUGUUACUGCAAUCCAAGAUGUAAACAAGGGAAUGACAUCCAAUAUAAGAAAAACAUGAAAAACAGAAGAAGAAACCAACCGGAAUAUCCCAGAAACAGGGGAAAGAAUAAAACAAUGUUACUACAAUCCAAGAUGUAUACAAGGGAAUGACAUCCAACAUAAGAAAAACAUGAAAAACAAAAGAAGAAACCAACCGAAAUAUCCCAGAAACAGGGGAAAUAAUAAAACAAUGUUACUGCAAUCCAGGAUGUAUACAAGGGAAUGACAUCCAAUAUAAGAAAAACAUGAAAAACAGAAAAAAAAGCAAAAGAAGAAAUCAACCAAAAUAUCCCAUAAACAAGGGAAAUGCUGAAACACUGAUACUACAAUCCAAGAAGAAUACAAGGAAAUAACAUCCAAUAUAGGGUAAGUUAUGGAAAACAGACAUUAGCAAACAUAAUGAUAACUAGACACAAUAUAUAUUCUAUCUAUCUCUCUUCUCCCUUCCUUCCCUCAUGUAUAUCCAUGUAUAUGAGGGAGUGGGGGGAGGUAGAGUCACAAGCCCUGUCGGGCGGGGGAGAGUUCUCAGUCCUGACGGGCGGCCUCUCCUUACUCUACCUCUCUCAUCCUCCUUACUCUACCUCUCUCAUCCUCCUUACUCUAUCUCUCUCAGACAUCGGCAAGCAGAAUGAUAACUAGAGAAAAAUAGACUAAUCCUAAUUCUAGUUUAAAGGGGGUAGGAAGUGACCAGACUGUGGAUCCAAUUGAGACGGCCAGUGCACUGCCUUUGGCUCUCCUUAACUGCCCAGUCGUCGGACGAAGCAGGGAGUGUCAUCGAGAUAACACAAAUACCUAACCCUAGCCCGAGCCUCGAACCCACCAGCUCUCGGUUAUAUCAUGAAUCACUACCCUCACCAAUUCUUGCUUGCAGAAAUAUAUGACUAAAAAAUAAAAAAAUAAAUAAAAAAUAUACAUAUUUUUUAAACCAUCUCUCCUCUCUUCCUUCAUGAGAGUGAAGGAAUGGGGGAGGUGGGACGUCCAGCCCUGUCGGGUAGGGGAGUGUUCAGAAUCCUGUCGGAGGCCACACUCUAGUCCUACUUCCUCCGCCUCCUAACAUCUCUCUCUCCUUUUUUUCUCUCUCUCUCACUCUCUCUCUCUCCCUCCCUCUCCCUCUCUCACUGUCUACCUUGUGCUUUCUUAGCUAAUCCAGGGACAGUUUAAUUUUAUGAUAACCUUACCUUUAUAUCUGCCCUAAACCUAAGGUUAGUGGAUUCUAAAUCCUAACCCUAGCCCUUAGCUUAGCCCUAACCGUAAAGUUAGUGGAUCUGAAAACCUAAUCCUAACCCUAAAGUUAGUGGAAUGUAAAACCUAACCCUAACCCUAAUCCUAACCCUAAAAUUAGUGGAUUUUAAACCUAACCCUAACCCUAAUCCUAACCCUAAAAUUAGUGGAUUUUAAACCUAACCCUAACCCUAAUCCUAACCCUAAAAUUAGUGAAUUUUAAACCUAACCCUAACCCUAGCUUCUAACCCUAACCGUAAAGUUAGUAUAGUUUAAAAUCUAACCCUAACCCUUUAACCUAACCCUAGUUUUAAAAUCUAAGGCAAUACAUGCCUUAACCAGAAAAAAGGAAAACAAAAAAUAUUGCAAUACAUACCUCGACCAGCAGGGGGCAAAAUUCACCCAGUUAGUCACUAAAAGUUAAGGGUAACUAUAUAACUCUAAAAAUAAAUUAAAUACAUGAAUAAAAUGUAAUUGUGUAAUUUAUUGUAAUACAAUCCUUGACCAACAGGGGGCAAAAUUCACCCUGUGAGUCACUAAAAGCUAAGUGCACUAAUAUAACUCUAAAAAUAAAUUAAAUACAUGAACAAAAUGUAAUUAUGUAAUUUAUUGUAAUACACACCUUGACCAACAGGGGGCAAAAUCCACCCUGUUAGUCACUAAAAGUUAAGUGUAAUUAUAUAACUCUAAAAAUAAAUUAAAUACAUGAAUAAAAUGUAAUUGUGUAAUUUAUUGCAAUACAAUCAUUGACCAGCAGGGGGCAAACUUUACUCUGCAGGUCACUAAAAGCUAAGUGUAAUAAUAACCCUUUAAAAACAAAUGAAAUUCAUUAAUAAAAUGUAAUUGGGUAAUUUAUUGCAAUACAAUCAUUGACCAGCAGGGGGCAAACUUUACUCUGCAUGUCACUAAAAGCUAAGUGUAAUAAUAACCCUUUAAAAACAAAUGAAAUUCAUGAAUAAAAUGUAAUUUGGAAACGUAAUGUAAUACUCACCUUGACCAGCAGGGGGCAAAUUCGCCUUUAAAGGGCAUUGUAACCUAUUAAACUCAAUAAUUACAUCCUUUAACUUAAUAAUAACAUCCCAAGAGUUAGUUGACUUACAAAAUACUCAAUAACCCACCCAUUUGGAAUGAAAAAAUAGGAUAAAGUACAGUAAAAAGAGAUAAAAUAAGUGAAUUAAGUUAGAUUUGAAACAAAACCAUGAGUGAGAAGGGUUGCAGGGAACUAUAGGACCCAUACACACCAAUGAUCUAUAUACCAGAUCUAUAGCUGUGCGGUGUAUGAAGCAUGGACUGGCCUACAGAGAGACAGAGAGGGACUUCCUUCAGGCUCAAUUAAGUGAGUACAAACUUUAUUCAAUAAUAUAAUUUUAAAUAUAAUUCUUAGAUUUUUUUUAAAACAAAAUACUACAUAAUAUUGAAGAAUUAACAUGGAUUAAAUUUACAAUACAAAUUAAAAAGCAUAUAUAUAAGAGAUAAGUAUUUUAUUAUUAAUCUUAAAAUAAAUUAUAACUCUGAAAAUCAAUUAAAUCCAUAAAAAGUACAUUAUUAAAGACAUAAUGCAAUAUAAAACUUGACCAGCAGAGGGCAGAAUUCACCCAGCAAUUCUUCUAAAAGGUAAGUCUAAUAAUGUAACUCAAAAAACAAUUUCAAUUCAUCAAUAAAAUCACAAUUUUUUUGGGGGUGCAAUACAUACCUCGACCAGCAGAGGGCAAACCUCGCCUGUAGGAAACAUCAUUACUUAAGGUAUACAGUCUCUUAACUCAAUAAUAAUACAAUAAUAAAAUAGAUGCUUAAUAAAAUAAAAAAUAAAAUAAUAAUAUAAUAAAAUAAAAAUAGUAUAAAAUAAUAAUAUAAUAAAAUAAAAAUAUAAUAAUAUUAAAUAAAAAUUAAAUAAAUAAUAAAAUAAAAAUGAAGUAAUAAAAUGAAAAAAUAAUAAUAAAAAUACAAUAAUACUGAAAUAAAAAACAAAAAUAAUAUAAAUGAAAUACAAAAUCGAAUACUAUGAAAAUACAAAUGUUAAAUAGAUAAAAUAUAAUGAAUUAUAAAAUGAAGAAAAAUAAAUAAAUAAAUAUAAUACAACAAAAUCACCUAAUUGGCUUGGGACACACACCAAGGUUUGAUCAACCUUGGCUGGGCCUCUCCUCAGGUGAGGGUGUCUAGUGAGAAAUGGCCGAAACACCCUGUGAUCCUGGGGUCCACUACUGAGGAUGUGUCUUACAAUUUGGACUUAGUCCACAUAGAACCUUAUGGGAAACCAGAUGA
Molecule: long non-coding RNA, 4252 nt
Organism: Centropristis striata (black sea bass)
Lineage: Eukaryota; Metazoa; Chordata; Actinopteri; Perciformes; Serranidae
Exons: 2
Source: RefSeq, a predicted model, not a curated record